This 492-nucleotide ribosomal RNA is filed under the name uncultured bacterium. Its description in RNAcentral is "partial 16S ribosomal RNA". It matches the Rfam family "Bacterial small subunit ribosomal RNA", at positions 29 to 507 of the family's 1533-position model. The record is from RNAcentral.
AGUGAACGCUGGCGGUAGGCCUAACACAUGCAAGUCGAACGGCAGCACAGUAAGAGCUUGCUCUUACGGGUGGCGAGUGGCGGACGGGUGAGGAAUACAUCGGAAUCUACUUUUUCGUGGGGGAUAACGUAGGGAAACUUACGCUAAUACCGCAUACGACCUACGGGUGAAAGCAGGGGAUCUUCGGACCUUGCGCGAUUGAAUGAGCCGAUGUCGGAUUAGCUAGUUGGCGGGGUAAAGGCCAACAAAGGCGACGAUCCGUAGCGGGUCUGAGAGGAUGAUCAGCCACACUGGAACUGAGACACGGUCCAGACUCCUACGGGAGGCAGCAGUGGGGAAUAUUGGACAAUGGGCGCAAGCCUGAUCCAGCCAUACCGCGUGGGUGAAGAAGGCCUUCGGGUUGUAAAGCCCUUUUGUUGGGAAAGAAAAGCAGCAGGUUAAUACCCCGCUGUUCUGACGGUACCCAAAGAAUAAGCACCGGCUAACUUCGUG